GGGAAUGGCUGCAGCUCAGUGGUAGAGCACCUGCUUUGCAUGCAGAAUGUUCCAGGUUUGAUCCCCAGCAUCUCCA
This is a non-coding RNA of Podarcis lilfordi (Lilford's wall lizard), 76 nucleotides long. The record is from the annotation of a GenBank genome assembly. Lineage: Eukaryota; Metazoa; Chordata; Lepidosauria; Squamata; Lacertidae.